CACAAAUUAACAGCCAGAUGAAGAGAUACAGCAGCCAAUCACAGGCACUUUUGUUCUGUUGGGCCACCCUCCCAGCAAAUAGAUGUUCUGUCUGUGACCAUCUACGGGUACCUGCAGGUCAGUUCUCACCCCUACAUGCUAGUCUUAGAAGAGCUGAGAGCACGGUCACUGCACUGAAGCUUGCUGUCAGAGGAAUGGAAUCAACUUACCUCCACUGGGUCCAGUUCAGAAACUGAAGCUCCCUCGUUGCUGUGUAGUUUGUUAAAGGGCCCGGGCAUAGCUUUGCACCUCAAAUGAGGAGCUUCUUCUGUAACUCCAGGAGGAGGGUGGACUCUCAGAACUCAACCUCACGCAGACUUUCCCUACAAGAAACCCAGUCCAACAGUCCAAAAGUACACACUGGAGUAUUAUUAAAAUUGUUACCCAUGUUUCCUAAAGAACAUGAAAAAGUCUAGUUUGUGAGCCUCAGUACUAUUUCUUAGACAACCUCACUCCCCUUCAUCGUGUUUCUGAAGAGGCCCUCAGCACAUGCCCUGCAGCCAUGCUUUUGGGAAACUCCUAUCCAUCAAGACCUUUUUUUUUUUUUCUGUUUUCAUCCUUUUUUUUUUUUUUAAGAGAACAAAGGAAAUUAUACAUAUUGG
This 641-nucleotide long non-coding RNA is filed under the name Chinchilla lanigera (long-tailed chinchilla). Its description in RNAcentral is "lncRNA (ENSCLAG00000027886.1)". Lineage: Eukaryota; Metazoa; Chordata; Mammalia; Rodentia; Chinchillidae. The record is from RNAcentral.